UUGGAUGUGGACUUGGACUCUGUCGUGUCACAACGACUGGUCUUAAAUGAAUGAGUGCACCCUGCUGUUGCAGCGUCUUCAGUGUGAUAAGCAUCUUCACUGGAACAAAGUUCCCUUUUGGGACACGCAGGCAUUGUAGGCUCUGUGCUGGCAAACCGUCUUUUUUGGACAAAUCUUUGACAAUUUGACCUCAAAUCGGGUGGGACUACCCGCUGAACUUAAGCAUAUCAAUAAGCGGAGGAAAAGAAACUAACAAGGAUUCCCCUAGUAACGGCGAGUGAAGAGGGAAAAGCUCAAAUUUUGAAUCUGGUGUCUUUGGCGCCCGAGUUGUAAUCUAGAGAAGUGUUUUCUGCCUCGGACCACACAUAAAUUCCCUGGAAUGGGGUGUCAUAGAGGGUGAGAAUCCCGUUUGUGGUGUGGACUACCUUGGCUCUGUGAUACACUCUCAACGAGUCGAGUUGUUUGGGAAUGCAGCUCAAAAUGGGUGGUAAAUUCCAUCUAAAGCUAAAUAUUGGCGAGAGACCGAUAGCGAACAAGUACCGUGAGGGAAAGAUGAAAAGCACUUUGGAAAGAGAGUGAAACAGUACGUGAAAUUGUUGAAAGGGAAGCGUUUGAAGUCAGUCGCAUUGGUCGGAACUCAGCCUGGCUUCUGCCUGGUGUAUUUUCUGGCAAAUGGGUCAGUGUCAAUUUUGAUCGA
RNAcentral lists this ribosomal RNA (697 nucleotides) under uncultured Sebacinales. Its description in RNAcentral is "eukaryotic LSU rRNA". The stretch from base 186 to 697 matches the Rfam family "Eukaryotic large subunit ribosomal RNA", at positions 1 to 515 of the family's 3401-position model. The record is from RNAcentral. Lineage: Eukaryota; Fungi; Basidiomycota; Agaricomycetes; Sebacinales.